Vulpes vulpes (red fox) is the source of this 128-nucleotide small nuclear RNA. Its record names the gene U4. It matches the Rfam family "U4 spliceosomal RNA". From Rfam's summary of the family: U4 small nuclear RNA (U4 snRNA) is a component of the major U2-dependent spliceosome. The structure of U4 snRNA from yeast and human has been reported. U4 snRNA presents a k-turn RNA motif in the 5p-SL related to recognition of Snu13 protein. Lineage: Eukaryota; Metazoa; Chordata; Mammalia; Carnivora; Canidae. The record is from Ensembl.
AGCUUUGCGCAGUGGCUGUAUCAUAGCCAAUGAGGUUUAUCCGAGGCGCAAUUGUUACUAAUAAAUAAGUCAGCCUUAAAAAAUGUUUCUUCAUUUAAAGUAGAUAUGAUUGUAAUCACUUCUUCAUG